GAGGGUCUAGCUCAGUGGCACAGCGUGUGCUUAGCAUGCACGAGGUCCUGGGUUGAAUCCCCGGACCUCCA
This 71-nucleotide transfer RNA is filed under the name Camelus dromedarius (Arabian camel). It matches the Rfam family "tRNA". Rfam says of the family: Transfer RNA (tRNA) molecules are approximately 80 nucleotides in length. Their secondary structure includes four short double-helical elements and three loops (D, anti-codon, and T loops). Further hydrogen bonds mediate the characteristic L-shaped molecular structure. tRNAs have two regions of fundamental functional importance: the anti-codon, which is responsible for specific mRNA codon recognition, and the 3' end, to which the tRNAs corresponding amino acid is attached (by aminoacyl-tRNA synthetases). tRNAs cope with the degeneracy of the genetic code in two manners: having more than one tRNA (with a specific anti-codon) for a particular amino acid; and 'wobble' base-pairing, i.e. permitting non-standard base-pairing at the 3rd anti-codon position. The record is from Rfam by way of RNAcentral. RNAcentral also lists the same sequence under 1 other name. Lineage: Eukaryota; Metazoa; Chordata; Mammalia; Artiodactyla; Camelidae.